GCCAGUGUAGCUUAAAUAAAGCAUGACACUGAAGAUGUC
Molecule: transfer RNA, 39 nt
Filed under: Hypostomus sp. BR 98-699
Lineage: Eukaryota; Metazoa; Chordata; Actinopteri; Siluriformes; Loricariidae
Also listed under: 1 other name
Description: partial transfer RNA-Phe
Source: RNAcentral